This 246-nucleotide long non-coding RNA is filed under the name Panax ginseng (ginseng). Its description in RNAcentral is "long non-coding RNA (PGIN_LNC000975)". The record is from RNAcentral. Lineage: Eukaryota; Viridiplantae; Streptophyta; Magnoliopsida; Apiales; Araliaceae.
AUGAAUCGUAAUAUAUACGAUGAGAUCACUCCGUGAUCUGAUAAGGUUAUGGUAUGAAGAAAGAUCAAGAGAAUGAUGAAAAGUUUACAGCAAGAUUGCUGUGUAUGAAUUGUACUAUAAAUUGGUACAGAUCCAGAAAAGAAUUAUGAAUACGAAUUAAAUUCGUAUGGAGAAGGGGUUAGUGUUAGGUGGGGAUUCAAUUGAGGACUCAUGUCGGCAGCUGAGUUGUAUGAUUCUUCGUAUGGG